This 1179-nucleotide long non-coding RNA is filed under the name Capsicum annuum. Its description in RNAcentral is "long non-coding RNA (CANN_LNC014547)". Lineage: Eukaryota; Viridiplantae; Streptophyta; Magnoliopsida; Solanales; Solanaceae. The record is from RNAcentral.
UAUUAACAAGAGAUACAUUUUAUUUGAUAUAUCUACUAAAAUAGCUAUGAUGCACUAAAAAGUAAAAUAACAAAAAUUGAGAAGGAAAUCAUGCUUUAUAAUUUCAAAAUUACUGUCAAAAUUCCAAGAAAAUCGUAAUUAGUUAUAUUGUUGAUAUUAAAAAAAAGGACUCUCAUUCAUCUUGUCGAAAUAUUUUUCUCCACUUUUUAAAUUCAAAAGGAUAUCACCCCCUCAUCUAACCGAACAACUCCACCUUCUCAUUUUUCAGAAUUUCCUUAAAAUCUUCUAGAAAUCUAACUUUGCAAGAAUUGUCAAACCUUAAUGGACGUGGUGGAACUUCUUUGACAUUGUUAUGCAUACCCAGCAUUGAGAUACAUAAGAAAUAGAACAGUUAGUAAUCGCUUGGAUAGUAGCCAUAUUGACUGAGAUGCAUUCAUUUUUUUAAAGUUAUUAGGUGGAGAUACAUAAUUUUGUUUAAUAUUAAAGAGAGAUACAUAGUUAAAAUUAUGUCUCAUGCAUGGAAUUAAUGUUAACUAUGUAUCUCAACAUCAAAAUUUAUCAUUGAGAUACAUUCAUUUUUUAAUCUAUUUGAUCGACAUACAUAUUUCAAUAAUUAGACUGGAGAGAAAUACAUAAUUAAAAUUAUGUCUCAUGUAUGAAAAUAAUAUCAAUAAUGUAUCUCAACAGUAAAAUUUAUAUAUCUAAUAAAUUUUUCAAUCUGAUACAUAUGUAUAAUAACUUUUGGAUGUGUCUCUUUGAUUUUUUCAACAACUUUGAAUUUUGAAGGACCAACCUUCCAUUUCAAAGAAGCAUAUCCUUAUUUUCUCUUUGAUUUAACACCAUCAAUGGCGGCAUCAGAAGCUGAAUCGAUUUUCAUCAUUAAUGGUGUUGGUGCGGUGAUAUUGGUGGCAUCAAUAAUAAAUCAUUUUCUUGAAAAAAGAAAGAAAGAAAGGUCAAGAAAUUUCUUCCACAAAUUUUAAUGAUAAAUCAUUUGAUUUAACACCAUCGAUAGCAUUAUCAAUGAUAAAUUAUUUUCUUGAAAAAAGGAAGAAAGAAAAGACAAGAAAUUUCUCCCAUAAAUUUCAAAUCUAAAGAAGAAAUUGACGAUAAAAGGAGCAGUAAAUAAGGGCAUAGGUGGAUCAUUAUGCGAGAAAGAAGGGUGUCUUUCCCCCUUUUGUG